GACGAACGCUGGCGGCGUGCCUAAUACACGCAAGUCGAGCGAAGUUUUUCUGGUGCUUGCACUAGAAAAACUUAGCGGCGAACGGGUGAGUAACACGUAAAGAACCUGCCUCAUAGACUGGGACAACUAUUGGAAACGAUAGCUAAUACCGGAUAACAGCAUUAACUGCAUGGUUGAUGUUUAAAAGUUGGUUUUGCUAACACUAUGAGAUGGCUUUGCGGUGCAUUAGCUAGUUGGUGGGGUAAAGGCCUACCAAGGCGACGAUGCAUAGCCGACCUGAGAGGGUGAUCGGCCACACUGGGACUGAGACACGGCCCAGACUCCUACGGGAGGCAGCAGUAGGGAAUCUUCCGCAUAUUGGGCGAAAUGCCUGACGGAUGCAACGCCGCGUGAUGUGAAG
Molecule: ribosomal RNA, 400 nt
Filed under: Gemella morbillorum
Lineage: Bacteria; Bacillati; Bacillota; Bacilli; Caryophanales; Gemellaceae
Description: bacterial SSU rRNA
Rfam family: Bacterial small subunit ribosomal RNA
Source: RNAcentral